AGAGUUUGAUCCUGGCUCAGGAUGAACGCUAGCUAUAGGCUUAACACAUGCAAGUCGAGGGGCAUCAUGAUCGAAGCUUGCUUUGAUUGAUGGCGACCGGCGCACUGGUGAGUAACGCGUAUCCAACCUGCCCGCCACUGGGGAAUAGUCCCCCGAAAGGGGGUUUAAUGCCCCAUGUCUCCUCCUGAGGGCAUCCGAAAGAGGGGAAAGGAAUCCGGUGGCGGAUGGGGAUGCGUCCGAUUAGCUUGUCGGCGGGGUAACGGCCCACCGAGGCUACGAUCGGUAGGGGUUCUGAGAGGAAGGCCCCCCACACUGGUACUGAGACACGGACCAGACUCCUACGGGAGGCAGCAGUGAGGAAUAUUGGUCAAUGGGCGCAAGCCUGAACCAGCCAAGUAGCGUGCAGGAAGACGGCCCUAUGGGUUGUAAACUGCUUUUGCGCGUGAUUAAAGUGCGGUACUUGUGCCGUAUUGCAGUUAGCGCGCGAAUAAGGACCGGCUAAUUCCGUGCCAGCAGCCGCGGUAAUACGGAAGGUCCUGGUGUUAUCCGGAUUUAUUGGGUUUAAAGGGAGCGUAGGCGGCCGAUUAAGCGUGCUGUGAGAUGGCGGGGCCCAACCCCGUCCCUGCAGCGCGAACUGGUUGGCUUGGGUACACGCAAGGCAGGCGGAAUUUGUGGUGUAGCGGUGAAAUGCUUAGAUAUCACGAAGAACCCCGAUUGCGAAGGCAGCUUGCCGGAGUGUUACCGACGCUGAAGCUCGAAGGUGCGGGUAUCGAACAGGAUUAGAUACCCUGGUAGUCCGCACGGUAAACGAUGGAUGCUCGCCGUCUGCGAUACAGUGCAGGUGGCCAAGCGAAAGCGUUAAGCAUCCCACCUGGGGAGUACGCCGGCAACGGUGAAACUCAAAGGAAUUGACGGGGGCCCGCACAAGCGGAGGAACAUGUGGUUUAAUUCGAUGAUACGCGAGGAACCUUACCCGGGCUUGAAUUGCAGAGGAAAGAUCCAGAGAUGGUGAUGCCCUUCGGGGUCUCUGUGAAGGUGCUGCAUGGUUGUCGUCAGCUCGUGCCGUGAGGUGUCGGCUUAAGUGCCAUAACGAGCGCAACCCUUGCCGUCAGUUGCCAUCGGGUAAUGCCGGGCACUCUGUCGGGACUGCCACCGCAAGGUGUGAGGAAGGUGGGGAUGACGUCAAAUCAGCACGGCCCUUACGUCCGGGGCUACACACGUGUUACAAUGGGUGGUACAGAAGGCUGCCUCUGCGCAAGCAGUGGCUAAUCCCUAAAUCCAUCCUCAGUUCGGAUUGGGGUCUGCAACCCGACCCCAUGAAGCUGGAUUCGCUAGUAAUCGCGCAUCAGCCAUGGCGCGGUGAAUACGUUCCCGGGCCUUGCACACACCGCCCGUCAAG
RNAcentral lists this ribosomal RNA (1399 nucleotides) under uncultured bacterium. RNAcentral describes it as "bacterial SSU rRNA". It matches the Rfam family "Bacterial small subunit ribosomal RNA". The record is from RNAcentral.